UAGGAAUUAUAUUCCCUCCCACUCCCAUCACUGUUAGGAAUCACCCUCUCCCCCUUUAAAACCCCUAGUAAACCCAUUUCUAUUCCUGCCUACAGCAUUCUCCCUGAGCCUCGCUCUCUCCUCUGCUGGCAGAUGGGAGAUGGAGGGGGGGGGGGGAUGCGGAGUUCUGGUGGCAAAGGGAAGGAGUAAUGGCUGCCAAAUAGUGGUGAGAGAGGUGUAGGGUGAUGCCUAUUGUUGAUGGGAGAGAGAGGGGGUGAUGCUUGAUGGUGAUAGGAGGAAGAGGGGGUGACGACUAAUGGUGAUGGAAGAUGGAGUGGGAUGAUACAAAAAGGAGGGCCCUCGUCGACUAUAACUGGGUAUCAUCCCCUCCCUCUAACACCACCAUUAGGCAUAAUCCCUCUCCUAUCACCAUUAGACGUAAACCUCUUUCCUCUCAUUACCAGAAGAUACCAAUCCCCUUCCUCUCCCAUGAUUAUUAGCCAUGAAAUCCCUCUCCCAUCACCACAAGGCAUCACUCUCCUUCCCAUCGCCAUUUGGCAUCAACCCUCCCUAUUCCAUUAUGAUUAAACAUUCCCCUCCUUCUCUCAGCUCCAUUAAGAAUCAAGUCCUCCCUCUCCCAUCACUAUUAGGCAGCCUUUCCUCUCCCACCGCUAACGUUAGGCUCCAUGAAAUCCUUUCUUACUCCCAUCACUAACGUAUAGGAGAGGAGCCGGAUGGUGAGUGGAGAGAAAGGGGCGAUGGCUGAUUAAAGAGAAACCAUAGGUGGAAAAUGUCCCUCCUUUUACUGCAUUAUAUAAAACAGGGGUCUCAAACCACUGGCCGAUGGACCACGUGUUGUCCCCAAUCAACUUCUUGCAGCCCGUGUAGGAGAUAAACUGCUGGCAACAUAAUUUACAGACUGUCUAGUUAGACACUGGACACCUGGCAACUGCCAGUCUUUUAAUUGAGCUGCUAAUCCACUGACCAGCAUUGCAGAGUGGUGCCCUCAGAUCUGUGUGUAUGUGAAUGUCUGUGAGUGUCUGUGAGUGUGUGUCAUUGGGAAUCUGUGAAUGUGUCUGGGAGCACGGAUCUGCGUCUGUGUGUAUCCAUGAGUGUUUGUAUGUAUGAGUUUAUCUGCGAGUG
Pelobates cultripes (western spadefoot toad) is the source of this 1122-nucleotide non-coding RNA. The record is from the annotation of a GenBank genome assembly. NCBI's taxonomy places the organism in Eukaryota, Metazoa, Chordata, Amphibia, Anura, Pelobatidae.